AACGAACGCUGGCGGCAUGCCUAACACAUGCAAGUCGAACGAGACCUUCGGGUCUAGUGGCGCACGGGUGCGUAACGCGUGGGAACCUGCCCUUAGGUUCGGAAUAACUCCCCGAAAGGGGUGCUAAUACCGGAUAAUGUCUUCGGACCAAAGAUUUAUCGCCUUUGGAUGGGCCCGCGUUGGAUUAGCUAGUUGGUAGGGUAAAAGCCUACUAAGGCGACGAUCCAUAGCUGGUCGGAGAGGAUGGUCAGACACACUGGGACUGAGACACGGCCCAGACUCCUACGGGAGGCAGCAGUGGGGAAUAUUGGACAAUGGGCGAAAGCCUGAUCCAGCAAUGCCGCGUGAGUGAUGAAGGCCUUAGGGUUGUAAAGCUCUUUUAACCAGGAUGAUAAUGACAGUACCGGGAGAAUAAGCUCCGGCUAACUCCGUG
Molecule: ribosomal RNA, 433 nt
Filed under: uncultured bacterium
Lineage: Bacteria
Description: partial 16S ribosomal RNA
Rfam family: Bacterial small subunit ribosomal RNA
Source: RNAcentral